GCCGCGUCUAGGGUAGCCCCCGAAAAGCCGGUUCCCUGCCGGCCGGACGCGGCCUCCGAUUCGCAGGG
RNAcentral lists this non-coding RNA (68 nucleotides) under unclassified sequences. Its description in RNAcentral is "int-alpA RNA". It matches the Rfam family "int-alpA RNA". Rfam says of the family: Acidobacteria (1 example), Planctomycetes (1 example), Proteobacteria. Environment (Lake Washington) The record is from Rfam by way of RNAcentral.